This 449-nucleotide ribosomal RNA is filed under the name uncultured bacterium. RNAcentral's name for it is "partial 16S ribosomal RNA". It matches the Rfam family "Bacterial small subunit ribosomal RNA", at positions 29 to 523 of the family's 1533-position model. The record is from RNAcentral.
AGCGAACGCUGGCGGCAGGCUUAACACAUGCAAGUCGAACGGGCACUUCGGUGUCAGUGGCAGACGGGUGAGUAACACGUGGGAACGUACCUUUUGGUUCGGAACAACUGAGGGAAACUUCAGCUAAUACCGGAUGAGCCCUUACGGGGAAAGAUUUAUCGCCGAAAGAUCGGCCCGCGUCUGAUUAGCUAGUUGGUAGGGUAACGGCCUACCAAGGCGACGAUCAGUAGCUGGUCUGAGAGGAUGAUCAGCCACAUUGGGACUGAGACACGGCCCAAACUCCUACGGGAGGCAGCAGUGGGGAAUAUUGGACAAUGGGGGCAACCCUGAUCCAGCCAUGCCGCGUGAGUGAUGAAGGCCCUAGGGUUGUAAAGCUCUUUUGUGCGGGAAGAUAAUGACGGUACCGCAAGAAUAAGCCCCGGCUAACUUCGUGCCAGCCGCCGCAGUAA